Molecule: ribosomal RNA, 253 nt
Filed under: uncultured bacterium
Lineage: Bacteria
Description: partial 16S ribosomal RNA
Rfam family: Bacterial small subunit ribosomal RNA
Source: RNAcentral
UACGAAGGGGGCUAGCGUUGCUCGGAAUUACUGGGCGUAAAGCGUGCGCAGGCGGUUUGCUAAGACCGAUGUGAAAUCCCCGGGCUUAACCUGGGAACUGCAUUGGUGACUGGCAAGCUAGAGUGUGGCAGAGGGGGGUAGAAUUCCACGUGUAGCAGUGAAAUGCGUAGAGAUGUGGAGGAAUACCGAUGGCGAAGGCAGCCCCCUGGGCCAACACUGACGCUCAUGCACGAAAGCGUGGGGAGCAAACAGG